GACGAACGCUGGCGGCGUGCUUAACACAUGCAAGUCGAACGGAAAGGCCCUGCUUUUGUGGGGUGCUCGAGUGGCGAACGGGUGAGUAACACGUGAGUAACCUGCCCUUGACUUUGGGAUAACUUCAGGAAACUGGGGCUAAUACCGGAUAGGAGCUCCUGCUGCAUGGUGGGGGUUGGAAAGUUUCGGCGGUGGGGGAUGGACUUGCGGCUUAUCAGCUUGUUGGUGGGGUAGUGGCUUACCAAGGCUUUGACGGGUAGCCGGCCUGAGAGGGUGACCGGCCACAUUGGGACUGAGAUACGGCCCAGACUCCUACGGGAGGCAGCAGUGGGGUAUAUUGCACAAUGGGCGGAAGCCUGAUGCAGCAACGCCGCGUGCGGGAUGACGGCCUUCGGGUUGUAAACCGCUUUCGCCUGUGACGAAGCGUGAGUGACGGUAAUGGGUAAAGAAGCACCGGCUAACUACGUG
Molecule: ribosomal RNA, 468 nt
Filed under: uncultured bacterium
Lineage: Bacteria
Description: partial 16S ribosomal RNA
Rfam family: Bacterial small subunit ribosomal RNA
Source: RNAcentral